CCUAACACAUGCAAGUCGCACGCGAAAGGGGGCAACCCCGAGUAGAGUGGCGGAUGGUGCGUAACGCGUAGGAAUAUACCUGGUAGUGGGGGACAACCCGGCGAAAGCCGGGCUAAUACCGCAUACGAUCUACGGAUGAAAGCAGGGGACCGCAAGGCCUUGCACUAUCAGAUUAGCCUGCGUCGGAUUAGCUAGUUGGUGAGGUAAAGGCUCACCAAGGCAACGAUCCGUAGCUGGUUUGAGAGAACGACCAGCCACACUGGGACUGAGACACGGCCCAGACUCCUACGGGAGGCAGCAGUGGGGAAUAUUGGACAAUGGGGGCAACCCUGAUCCAGCAAUGCCGCGUGUGUGAAGAAGGCCUUCGGGUUGUAAAGCACUUUCGAUGGGGAAAAACAAGUCAGACCUAACACGUCUGGCCCUGAUGGUACCCAGAGAAGAAGCACCGGCUAACUCUGUGCCAGCAGCCGCGGUAAUACAGAGGGUGCAAGCGUUAAUCGGAAUUACUGGGCGUAAAGGGUGCGUAGGUGGUUUGUUAAGUCAGGCGUGAAAUCCCUGGGCUCAACCUGGGAACUGCGUUUGAUACUGGCAGACUCGAGUCUGGUAGAGGGUAGUGGAAUUCCGCAUGUAGCGGUGAAAUGCGUAGAUAUGCGGAGGAACAUCAGUGGCGAAGGCGGCUACCUGGACCAAGACUGACACUGAGGCACGAAAGCGUGGGGAUCAAACAGGAUUAGAUACCCUGGUAGUCC
Molecule: ribosomal RNA, 749 nt
Filed under: uncultured bacterium
Lineage: Bacteria
Description: bacterial SSU rRNA
Rfam family: Bacterial small subunit ribosomal RNA
Source: RNAcentral